This 139-nucleotide unclassified non-coding RNA is filed under the name soil metagenome. RNAcentral describes it as "partial internal transcribed spacer 1". The record is from RNAcentral.
UCAAAACAGCGGCCUUCGGGCCUCGCUGCACCCUUGUCUUUUGCGCACCGUAUUGUUUCCUCGGCGGGCUUGCCUGCCGGUUGGACAUCAUAAAACCUUUUUGUAGUUGCAAUCAGCGUCAGAAAAACAGUAAUUAUUA